GUACACUCCUGCGGGAGGCAGCAGUGGGGAAUAUUGGACAAUGGGCGCAAGCCUGAUCCAGCCAUGCCGCGUGAGUGAUGAAGGCCCUAGGGUUGUAAAGCUCUUUCACCGGUGAAGAUGAUGACGGUAACCGGAGAAGAAGCCCCGGCUAACUUCGUGCCAGCAGCCGCGGUAAUACGAAGGGGGCUAGCGUUGUUCGGAUUUACUGGGCGUAAAGCGCACGUAGGCGGACUAUUAAGUCAGGGGUGAAAUCCCGGGGCUCAACCCCGGAACUGCCUUUGAUACUGGUAGUCUUGAGUUCGAGAGAGGUGAGUGGAAUUCCGAGCGUAGAGGUGAAAUUCGUAGAUAUUCGGAGGAACACCAGUGGCGAAGGCGGCUCACUGGCUCGAUACUGACGCUGAGGUGCGAAAGCGUGGGGAGCAAACAGGAUUAGAAACCCGUGUAGUCCCA
Molecule: ribosomal RNA, 450 nt
Filed under: uncultured organism
Description: partial 16S ribosomal RNA
Rfam family: Bacterial small subunit ribosomal RNA
Source: RNAcentral